Molecule: non-coding RNA, 29 nt
Filed under: Cricetulus griseus (Chinese hamster)
Lineage: Eukaryota; Metazoa; Chordata; Mammalia; Rodentia; Cricetidae
Source: RNAcentral
UAAACCUCAGUAUGGCUGGAAUUCAUGGU